AAGUAAAAAGAGAAGUUAUGUAGGACAAGUUAUGAGAUUGGUAAUGUUAUGUUGCUAUAUGGGAGUGAACACCUACCAAAAAAUGGUUGUCGUAGUAAUGCGAACGUUUGCAUGAAUAUAUGUACAUAUAAUAUCAGAAAACUUGUAAAUGACGAUACCAGAUAGAGAGUGCAAGUAGCAUAUAUAGAGUUUAAAAUAAGAGAAGGAUCAUGGUUUGAGCACGUCAUAUGUAGACUUUUGAACAUACCAAUCUAUAUGAGCAACUAUAUGAUGAUUGAUGGAGUAAAAGGGGAUGAGGUAGAUCCAAUGUCACGUAGAGGAAGUUAUCUCAAAUAACUGCAACUUUUCAAAAUCAUUGUAGAUUUAGCCAAAAAGAUAGCACAAUGAAAGAAAAGGAUCCAUGUAGGCAAUACCAACUAAUUGACACAAAGCUAUAGUUGUUUUAGUUUGUUACACUUACACUAAGUAUGGUGUUUGUCAAGAUCCUUUUUAGUUUGGUAACAAACUAGUAUGCUUAUGCAAGAAUAAGUUUGAGAUUUAUAGAACACAUAGUUUGAAUGACAGAUUAUUUAAUAAUGGAAUAGAUUGGCCUGAUUGGAGCAGAGUAGAUGUAUAGAAUUUAUAUAGGCAACUCCAAAUAGUAUUAAUUGAAUUUUCCUAGAAUAAAUAUCUGUUUAUGGAGAAAAGUCUUUUGACUGGAGUAACAUGCCUACAUCUUUUCUUCUCAGAAAUGUUCCGUUGAAACCCUGUUUAUUUUAAUCCCUUUUAAGGCUGAAUGCUAAAUCAAUGGUACUCAAGCUUUUUUUUAGCUAUAUUCAGGUUGCUCAGUGUGAAUUCUUAAUCUAUAUUGAGCUUGUUUUGAUGUUGAAUUCUUAACCCUUUUCUAAAAGUUUAGUAACUGUAUUAACUUAAAUGUUACAGGUGCGUUUUGGGGCAAAGUAAGAGAAGCUGCUGAGAAAAAGGUUGGUCAGGUUAUCAUCUUUGCUAUAUAAUAUUAUCGUUGGUGAUCAUGCACAAUCUUCCUAAUGCUUGUUAUUAGAUGGUGACAUAGCACCAGAAGAGAGGAGAAAACCGAAAAGAAUUGAAUGAAAGAUCAAUUCAUAAAUUAUUAUUUAGUAAGUGUUUUCCAAAUUUUCUCAACGAAAUACUACAAGAUUUAUAUAUAAAGUAGGAUUUUGAACUGUCAGAACCUUGAACGUUGAACUCUAUAUGUAACUAAAAGAAUAAGGCCAUUUCAAACUAAUAUAUAAUCUACUCAAUGUAUUGUUCAAAUGAUUAGCAUGGAGAGGGGAUGCUGAUUCUGCAGUACGAGCUUCUAAGCUUACUCAAAGUGUCCUAGUACCGUAGUGGUAAACUGCUUAUCGGCCUAUUCCCAUUGCAAGUCAGCUAAACAUAAUAUUUUCACGUUCAGCAAAUGUUCCUUGCUCGACACUCUGAGGGCUGGUGGUUACUUGAUUUAGUCUGACUAUGAUAAGAACCUAGUGUGAUGGAGUCAGCAAUGAUAAUAUCCUUGUUUAUUUGUGAAGGCUAUGGAUUUUAUUUCUGCAUAUCAUCUGGCUGGAACUCAGCUUAUUUUAUUGAAGACCUAAUA
RNAcentral lists this long non-coding RNA (1591 nucleotides) under Nicotiana benthamiana. RNAcentral's name for it is "long non-coding RNA (NBEN_LNC006019)". The record is from RNAcentral. Lineage: Eukaryota; Viridiplantae; Streptophyta; Magnoliopsida; Solanales; Solanaceae.